This 431-nucleotide ribosomal RNA is filed under the name uncultured bacterium. RNAcentral describes it as "partial 16S ribosomal RNA". It matches the Rfam family "Bacterial small subunit ribosomal RNA", at positions 29 to 505 of the family's 1533-position model. The record is from RNAcentral.
AACGAACGCUGGCGGCAUGCCUAACACAUGCAAGUCGAACGAGACCUUCGGGUCUAGUGGCGCACGGGUGCGUAACGCGUGGGAACCUGCCCUUAGGUUCGGAAUAACUCCCCGAAAGGGGUGCUAAUACCGGAUAAUGUCUUCGGACCAAAGAUUUAUCGCCUUUGGAUGGGCCCGCGUUGGAUUAGCUAGUUGGUAGGGUAAAAGCCUACCAAGGCGACGAUCCAUAGCUGGUCUGAGAGGAUGAUCAGCCACACUGGGACUGAGACACGGCCCAGACUCCUACGGGAGGCAGCAGUGGGGAAUAUUGGACAAGGGGCGAAAGCCUGAUCCAGCAAUGCCGCGUGAGGGAUGAAGGCCUUAGGGUUGUAAAGCUCUUUUACCCGGGAUGAUAAUGACAGUACCGGGAGAAUAAGCUCCGGCUAACUCCG